ACCCGCACAAGCAGCGGAGCGUGUGGUUUAAUUCGAUGCUACACGAAGAACCUUACCAGGGUUUGACAUGCAAGUGGUAGGAAACUGAAAAGGGACCGACCCUUCGGGGAGCUUGCACAGGUGCUGCAUGGCUGUCGUCAGCUCGUGUCGUGAGAUGUUCGGUUAAGUCCGCUAACGAGCGCAACCCUCACUGUGUGUUAUAUGUGUCACACGGGACUGCCGGUUUUAAGCCGGAGGAAGGUGGGGAUGACGUCAAGUCAGCAUGGCCUUUAUAUCCUGGGCUACACACACGCUACAAUGGUCGGUACAAUAGGUUGCCAAGCCGCGAGGCGGAGCCAAUCCAAAAAAGCCGGCCUCAGUUCAGAUUGUAGGCUGCAACUCGCCUGCAUGAAGAUGGAGUUGCUAGUAACCGCAGGUCAGCAAUACUGCGGUGAAUACGUUCCCGGGGCUU
Molecule: ribosomal RNA, 451 nt
Filed under: uncultured Anaerolineaceae bacterium
Lineage: Bacteria; Bacillati; Chloroflexota; Anaerolineae; Anaerolineales; Anaerolineaceae
Description: bacterial SSU rRNA
Rfam family: Bacterial small subunit ribosomal RNA
Source: RNAcentral